This is a long non-coding RNA of Cercocebus atys (sooty mangabey), 1565 nucleotides long. RefSeq lists it as uncharacterized. Lineage: Eukaryota; Metazoa; Chordata; Mammalia; Primates; Cercopithecidae. The record is from RefSeq and is a predicted model, not a curated record. The transcript is spliced from 3 exons.
CCUCAGCUUCGCCUGAGAGCCGGGUUGUGCAAGGGCGGGUCAUUCUGGGGCGCUUAGGGGUGGGUGCCGGGGGACGCGCUUUCCCGCGUGAAGGUCGCGCCAGGAGUCAUGCGUACAUUCGUUCAUUUUGCUCUGGACGUACUGAUGUUUCUACGCGCCGCCGCCACGAGGUGGUCCCACCUCCUUUCGCUGUGUUUCUGUUUACAUUCGCAUCUGCGAGACCCGGCGGCGCGACCGAGGCCCGAACAGAUGGAAAUGGGCUGCCAUGUUGUGAGCUGCCUCAUGGGGAAGAGGCUCACAUGUGAGCAACUGAGGGAGGCCUCCAGAAAACAGCCAGUGAAGAACUGAGACCCUCAGUCCAACAGCCUGUGAGGAACUGAAACCUGCUGACAACCAUAUGAAUGAGCUUGGAAGCAGGUCCUUCCCCAGUGAAGCCUUCAUGUGAGACUGCAGCCCAUUUGACACUUUGAUUUGUAGCCUUGUGACAGACCCCAAGCCAGAGGAGCCAGUGCAGACAGCCAUCACAUUUUCCAGAAGGAGAAAUGGAAACAGUGGAAAGGCAAGUCACUUUGCCCAGGGUUUGCUGUUUUUCACAACCUCAGCAAUGAGGAGCUUUGCCUCAAUAACUCAAGACAAAAUAUAUUAAUAACUCCAAGGCUCAGAAUCCAAAAUCAUCAGAAACCUGGAGAGGGAGCCAGCUGGACUCCUCACUCAACUGAACCUGGUUAGAUCAGUAAAUGCCUCCAGGCUGCAGUUUUCCCAUUUGUGAACUUUGGGCUAAUGGAGAAACCAGGAGAGACCAAGGUUUUGGAUAAGUCACAGAAAGGAUACUACAUCAUCUCAAAGGACAAAAUGCAACUUCUAAGAAUUACAAAAAGCAGGCAAAGCUAAGUGAAGAUGCUUCUCUCCCUCCCCUCUAGAACUCACACUUUGGCACAAAGGCCUUUGAAACACAACACUCUGCAGUGGUCUUUACUGCGGUGGACAGCAACCUGUCCCAAGCCCCAAGCCCUCAGGAGAGGCAUAUUUCUGGGCAAUACGCCUCACUCAACUAACCUCAGUCCUACUAUCUGUGGGUCCACUGAUAACUGCAGAAAAUUGUCAGCUUCCUUCGCAGCCAAGGACUGUAACAGAGAAGGCCAAAGAUUGCAAGCCGGAUGACCCAACAGGCAAAACUUAACCAAUGCUCCCAGAAGCUUUUAGGCACCAUGUGGGAGAAAAUGAGGGGAAGCCACUGGGGCGUGGUCGGAACAUUUUUACCAGGGAGAGUAUGAGUAAAGAACAGGUGGGGCUCUUCCCUAACACACGCCCACUUAACGGUGGGGACUGGUUCUUGCUCAAAGAUGCAGCCCUGCUCUUUCGAUUGUGCGGUGCGCCCCAGCUGUUUGCAAAGGUGUGGUCAGCACGCAAAGACUCCAGACGUCAUUUUGAUAUUUUUAAAACGUUAAACGCCACCAGCAGCCAACUAAGAAUUAACUCUUAGGAGUGUAUGUGCAUAUGUGUGUAUGAACUGGAGGGCAUCCGAGAGCUAGCGUCUCCCACUGGGCCCUGGGCGAGGUGGAGAG